UCCCUGCUGGCUAAGCGGGUAAAGAACUUGCCUGCAAUGCAGGAGACACAGGUUCAAUCCUUGCGUCAGGAA
This 72-nucleotide transfer RNA is filed under the name Ovis aries (sheep). It matches the Rfam family "tRNA". Rfam says of the family: Transfer RNA (tRNA) molecules are approximately 80 nucleotides in length. Their secondary structure includes four short double-helical elements and three loops (D, anti-codon, and T loops). Lineage: Eukaryota; Metazoa; Chordata; Mammalia; Artiodactyla; Bovidae. The record is from Rfam by way of RNAcentral.